AGAUGAAAUCCUUCGUGUGCAUCGCUCUGGUCGCCUUCGCCGCCGCCGCUCUGGCUUCGCCACCAACGUGGCCUUCGGCCACCGGCUCCACUGGCUCCUCGGUGACCACCCAGGACGGAGAGCUGGAGGGAGUGACCGGACAGGGAUUCGGUGACCUGACCCGUCUCCGUAAGUCUGCCUACGGCGGCAGCUCCGGCGGCUAUGGCGGCUCCAGCAUCCCAGCUCCUCCCUGCCCCAAGAACUACCUGUUCAGCUGCCAGCCCAACCUUGCCCCCGUGCCAUGCAGCGCUCCAGCUCCCAGCUACGGAUCC
RNAcentral lists this unclassified non-coding RNA (311 nucleotides) under Drosophila melanogaster (fruit fly). The record is from RNAcentral. Lineage: Eukaryota; Metazoa; Arthropoda; Insecta; Diptera; Drosophilidae.